GGGGGGGCAAGCGUUUGUUCGGAAUUACUGGGCGUAAAGGGCGCGCAGGCGGCCCGGCCAGUCCUACGUGAAAUCCCACAGCUCAACUGUGGAACUGCGUGGGAUACUGCCAGGCUUGAGUCCGGGAGAGGAGAGUGGAAUUCCCAGUGUAGCGGUGAAAUGCGUAGAUAUUGGGAGGAACACCGGUGGCGAAGGCGGCUCUCUGGACCGGCACUGACGCUGAGGCGCGAAAGCUAGGGGAGCAAACGGGGAUUAGAUACCCCGGUAGUCCUAGCCCUAAACGAUGAGCACUUUGUGUGGCGGGUAUCGACCCCUGCCGUGCAGAAGCUAACGCAUUAAGUGCUCCGCCUGGGGAGUACGGUCGCAAGGCUG
This 372-nucleotide ribosomal RNA is filed under the name uncultured organism. RNAcentral's name for it is "partial 16S ribosomal RNA". It matches the Rfam family "Bacterial small subunit ribosomal RNA", at positions 528 to 896 of the family's 1533-position model. The record is from RNAcentral.